Long non-coding RNA from Dreissena polymorpha, 1032 nucleotides. RefSeq lists it as uncharacterized. Lineage: Eukaryota; Metazoa; Mollusca; Bivalvia; Myida; Dreissenidae. The record is from RefSeq and is a predicted model, not a curated record. The transcript has 3 exons.
UUGUUGGUUUGACUUUCAGAUUUUAGAAGUAAAGCUUGAGUAGUUCAGAAAUGCUAUUUUUGAAAGAUAUUUCAUUCAUUUUACAUAUGUGCAUUAGGUUCUGUUUUAUUUGAGUGUUUUUACUUGUAAUUCAAACUUGUUAAAUCAAAGAUUAUGAUUAAAUUCCCAAUGUUAUAUCAAUUUCAUAUUUAUGCCCCCCUUCGAAGAAGAGGGGGUAAAGUGUUUUGCAAUGUCAGUCGGUCCGUCCGUCAGUCGUUCCGUCCACCAUAUGGUUUCCAGAUGAUUACUCAAGAACACUUAGGCCUAGGAUCAUGAAACUUCAUAGGUACAUUGAUCAUGACUGGCAGAUGACCCCUAUUGAUUUUCAGGUCACUAGGUCAAAGGUCAAGGUCACAGUGACUCAAAACAGUAAAAUGGUUUCCGGAUGAUAACUCAAGAAUGCUUACGCCUAGGAUCAUGAAACUUCAUAGUAACAUUGAUCAUGACUGGCAGAUGACCCCUAUAGAUUUUUAGGUCACUAGGUCAAAGGUCAAGGUCACAGUGACUCGAAACAGUAAAAUGGUUUCCAGAUGAUGACUUAAGAAUGCUUACGCCUAGGGUUAUAAAACUUAAUAGGUACAUUGAUCAUGACUGGCAGAUGACCCCUAUUGAUUUUCAGGUCACUAGGUCAAAGGUCAAGGUCACAGUGACUCGAAAUAGUAAAAUGGUUUCCCGAUGAUAACUCAAGAAUGCCUACGCCUAGGAUCAUGAAACUUCAUAGGUACAUUGAUCAUGACUGGCAGAUGACCCCCAUUAAUUUUCAGUUUACUAGGUCAAAGGUCAAGGUCACAGUGACUCGAAACAGUUAAAUGGUUUCCUGAUUAUAACUCAAGAAUAAUUAGGCCUAGGAUCAUGAAACUUCAUAGGUACAUUGAUCAUGACUGGUAGAUGACCCUUAUUGAUUUUCAGGUCACUAGGUCAAAGGUCAAGGUCACAGUGACAAAAAACGUAUUCACAAAAUGGCUGCCACUACAACUGACAGCCCAUAUGGGG